This 248-nucleotide unclassified non-coding RNA is filed under the name fungal sp. RNAcentral describes it as "partial internal transcribed spacer region". The stretch from base 1 to 46 matches the Rfam family "Eukaryotic small subunit ribosomal RNA", at positions 1786 to 1831 of the family's 1831-position model. The record is from RNAcentral. Lineage: Eukaryota; Fungi.
AAGUCGUAACAAGGUUUCCGUAGGUGAACCUGCGGAAGGAUCAUUCACAAUCAAUAGCCCUAGUGGCAUGCCAACAAAAUUUUGUUGUGCACCUUUGUGCAAAGUAAAUAACUUUACUCAAUUUUAUAACUUGACUGAAAAUUUUUCAUUAUUUUAAUUGAACAUUGAGAGACAAUUUUUGUUGCUUUCAAUAAGUAGAUUAUAUUUGAAUCUUUAUACAACUUUUAACAAUGGAUCUCUUGGCUCUC